RNAcentral lists this ribosomal RNA (476 nucleotides) under Actinomyces sp. oral taxon 169. RNAcentral's name for it is "bacterial SSU rRNA". It matches the Rfam family "Bacterial small subunit ribosomal RNA", at positions 28 to 493 of the family's 1533-position model. The record is from RNAcentral. Lineage: Bacteria; Bacillati; Actinomycetota; Actinomycetes; Actinomycetales; Actinomycetaceae.
GACGAACGCUGGCGGCGUGCUUAACACAUGCAAGUCGAACGGUGAAGGGAUCAGCUUGCUGGUUCUGGAUGAGUGGCGAACGGGUGAGUAACACGUGAGUAACCUGCCCCCUUCUUCUGGAUAACCGCAUGAAAGUGUGGCUAAUACGGGAUAUUCUGGGUCUGUCGCAUGGCGGGCCCGGGAAAGAUAUUGUUUCGGUGGGGGAUGGGCUCGCGGCCUAUCAGCUUGUUGGUGGGGUGAUGGCCUACCAAGGCGGUGACGGGUAGCCGGCCUGAGAGGGUGGACGGUCACACUGGGACUGAGACACGGCCCAGACUCCUACGGGAGGCAGCAGUGGGGAAUAUUGCACAAUGGGCGCAAGCCUGAUGCAGCGACGCCGCGUGAGGGAUGGAGGCCUUCGGGUUGUAAACCUCUUUCGCCAGUGAAGCAGGCCUGCUUCCUUGUGGGUGGGUUGACGGUAGCUGAUAAAGAAGCGC